RNAcentral lists this transfer RNA (68 nucleotides) under pig gut metagenome. The stretch from base 6 to 63 matches the Rfam family "tRNA", at positions 8 to 63 of the family's 71-position model. From Rfam's summary of the family: Transfer RNA (tRNA) molecules are approximately 80 nucleotides in length. The record is from RNAcentral.
GGCUGUAGCUCAGUUGGUAGAGCAUUGGCUUCCCAAGCCGAGGGUCGCGGGUUCGAGUCCCCCUGACU